UGGAGGCUUCAGCCGGGACCUCCGAGGAGAUGGAGCUUCCGCA
Molecule: microRNA precursor, 43 nt
Filed under: Pteropus alecto (black flying fox)
Lineage: Eukaryota; Metazoa; Chordata; Mammalia; Chiroptera; Pteropodidae
Description: microRNA pal-mir-10003 precursor
Source: miRBase by way of RNAcentral